UACGGAGGGUGCAAGCGUUAUCCGGAUUUACUGGGUUUAAAGGGUGCGUAGGUGGGUUGGUAGGUCAGUGGUGAAAUACUUUCGCUUAACGAAGGAACUGCCAUUGAUACUACCAGUCUUGAAUACAGUGGAGGUAGGCGGAAUGCGUCAUGUAGCGGUGAAAUGCUUAGAUAUGACGCAGAACACCAAUUGCGAAGGCAGCUUGCUACACUGUUAGUGACACUGAGGCACGAAAGCGUGGGGAUCAAACAGG
Molecule: ribosomal RNA, 253 nt
Filed under: uncultured bacterium
Lineage: Bacteria
Description: partial 16S ribosomal RNA
Rfam family: Bacterial small subunit ribosomal RNA
Source: RNAcentral